Non-coding RNA from Aggregatibacter actinomycetemcomitans D11S-1, 101 nucleotides. The record is from Rfam. NCBI's taxonomy places the organism in Bacteria, Pseudomonadati, Pseudomonadota, Gammaproteobacteria, Pasteurellales, Pasteurellaceae.
GUGCGGUCACAAAAUCCAACGGAUUUUGAACGUUGGCUUUGCCAACGGCCUCAUCAGGGCGAACAAUCGAACUUGAUUCGAUUGUGAGUAAUUUUUCCGAU